GGAGAGGUGGCUGAGUGGUCGAAAGCGACGGUUUGCUAAACCGUUGAGGGUGUACGCCCUCCGCAGGUUCGAAUCCUGUCUUCUCCG
Molecule: transfer RNA, 87 nt
Filed under: Planctomycetia bacterium
Lineage: Bacteria; Pseudomonadati; Planctomycetota; Planctomycetia
Description: tRNA-Ser
Rfam family: tRNA
About the family: Transfer RNA (tRNA) molecules are approximately 80 nucleotides in length. Their secondary structure includes four short double-helical elements and three loops (D, anti-codon, and T loops). Further hydrogen bonds mediate the characteristic L-shaped molecular structure. tRNAs have two regions of fundamental functional importance: the anti-codon, which is responsible for specific mRNA codon recognition, and the 3' end, to which the tRNAs corresponding amino acid is attached (by aminoacyl-tRNA synthetases). tRNAs cope with the degeneracy of the genetic code in two manners: having more than one tRNA (with a specific anti-codon) for a particular amino acid; and 'wobble' base-pairing, i.e. permitting non-standard base-pairing at the 3rd anti-codon position.
Source: RNAcentral